UUGAUCCGUAAAUUUCAUGGAUGUUGUC
This 28-nucleotide non-coding RNA is filed under the name Rattus norvegicus (Norway rat). Lineage: Eukaryota; Metazoa; Chordata; Mammalia; Rodentia; Muridae. The record is from RNAcentral.